This 425-nucleotide long non-coding RNA is filed under the name Ursus americanus (American black bear). RNAcentral describes it as "lncRNA (ENSUAMG00000012561.1)". The record is from RNAcentral. Lineage: Eukaryota; Metazoa; Chordata; Mammalia; Carnivora; Ursidae.
GCUUCAAAGAAGACACUUUGCUGUUGAUAGCUGAGCUUUCAGCCCUCUGGCUGUCCUCCCAGAUCCAUUGUCUGUGCUGUCCUGAACCGCCUGAGUGGUCUUCGUGAAUCUUCCCAUACGCCUGCCCCACCUCACUUUCCUGGCAGCAACUUGGUGACGUGUGAGAAGCCUGCACUGGGAGGCUUGGCUGUAAUGCAGAGUGACUUCAUCACCUAAAACUUCAGUGUUGUGUCUGCUUAGCCCUUGAGCUAACAACCACCCCACCCCCUAUCUCUGGGAACUGCCCUCUCACCCACACAGGUGGGUACCUGGCUGCCAUAUUUGUACUCAAUGACCCUAACUAACUGGAGAGAGGACAGAGGAUUUACCUGGUCAUAGCUCGACCAAUCAGAAUCUCCCCAAGAGAUUUAGAAAUCAAAGAUUCU